AAUCAAAACUAACAUACAUGUCCUUUCAAAUAAAACUGGCGGGCUGUUAAACUAUAGAUGUCAGAAACCCUCUGCUGCCUCUUUAUUUAACUGGUUUAAAAUACUUGACAGCAAAGCAAUUACUGUCAAAUGAACAGGAAAGCAUGAGGCCAAAUACCAUUCCCACAGGUACUGUAAAUGUUUAAUACUAUAUUUUGGCAGCUGUUACUUUUAAUAAGAUGUAGCAAAAAUAUUUAUAGAAGUAGAUUGUCUCAGGAGAUUGUUUGGGCAGCUUUGUCACUUCUCACAGACUGCUCCAGAAGCUGUCCACCCAACAAAGCAUGGUUUUAUGUUAACUCUGCUCAGGAGCUUCGGCAGAGGCUGGUGCAGCCAGCAAAUAAGAGUUAAUAUUUGAAUCAGAACAUUACUGUCCUGGGGAUAAAAAAGAAACAAGAAAAAACUCACUUUCCCAUGAAGGGCCUUCUUCUCAAGUUGACCGCCACAGUUCAUAAGCCUGUUUCCUGAUUUCUCAUCACUAAAUCUGGACACCAAAUUAAAUCUUUUAAAAAUCCUGAUUGUGACAGUUUAUCAGCUUACUUUGAAAAUACCAGAAGCAGUAUAUUCUGAGAUAUAUAGUACACAACCGAGACCAUCAAUCUAACUCAGUGAAAAGGCAUAUUUAUUGUCAGGCAUUUUUUUCUGUAAUCUGUCCUGCCACACACAUUCCUUGGAACAAUCAAGACUCCUAGUUCCUUUAGUUAUUUCUUGCUUUUAAUAUAUUCAAGAGAUUCUAACUAAAAGCAAGAUUUAAUAAGCUUCCAUGCUUUUCUUUGAUGUUUAGUUCCCAAAUAAAUUUGUGCAUAAUGACCUUUGCCUUUAGUGAAAGUUAGAUGUAUCAACAACUCUUAAGUCCACACUGUAGCUCUGUUAAGUCACUUAGAAACUGACUUGGGUCCUGAUGCCUUUUACAAAGAGAAACCGUUAAGUUUCUCAUUCUUCCCUCCCAAAAGAAUAUAUUUUUAAAUAUUCUCUGUAGUCAAACUGCCAGGAUACCAGAGUUGCAUUGUUUAGUUUUUUAUGAAAGAAGUGGUCAAGAAGCAAGCUGGGGUCACCAACUUGGUCAGACCCAAAAUAUCCUUAUUAUAUGGCCUACAUACGAACACUCCUACAAGUGUUUGCUCCUUAAAGAAGUAACGCUUAGGAGUUGGUAUCCAUCUUUGCUCCACUACCAGUAGAAAUUACAUGAGCCCCCUGCUGUCCAGUGAAGUGCACAGUCCAGUUCACAUGCCUACCAGGACUCCUACCAAGAUGGACUGUAUUCAGUUUUUAAUUCUGAAACGAGUAUAAUUUGAGGUGUUGGCAUUUUGUCCAUGGGACUCUUGUCUCUUGGAAUGGUUCUGCAGUCAUGUGUAUUGAAAUGUCUAAUG
Molecule: long non-coding RNA, 1406 nt
Organism: Cygnus olor (mute swan)
Lineage: Eukaryota; Metazoa; Chordata; Aves; Anseriformes; Anatidae
Exons: 2
Source: RefSeq, a predicted model, not a curated record